UAAAUAGAAACAUAAACAAUUAAAUGCUUUAUUAAAAGUUAGAAGCUUUUUUUAAAUUAUUUCUUU
This 66-nucleotide transfer RNA is filed under the name Lycoprogenthes sp. UPOL A00542. RNAcentral describes it as "partial tRNA-Ser". Lineage: Eukaryota; Metazoa; Arthropoda; Insecta; Coleoptera; Lycidae. The record is from RNAcentral.